RNAcentral lists this small nucleolar RNA (119 nucleotides) under Pteropus vampyrus (large flying fox). The record is from RNAcentral. Lineage: Eukaryota; Metazoa; Chordata; Mammalia; Chiroptera; Pteropodidae.
GCUGCGUAUUGGUAGAGCUUGGAGUUGAGGCCACCAACUGGCCAAUGAACUCACAAGUGUAGGUAGUGUGCUACAUAUACGGCAAGUUUUUACUACACCACAGGGUCUCUAGCCCANNN